Long non-coding RNA from Mauremys reevesii (Reeves's turtle), 1761 nucleotides. RefSeq lists it as uncharacterized. The transcript is spliced from 3 exons. The record is from RefSeq and is a predicted model, not a curated record. NCBI's taxonomy places the organism in Eukaryota, Metazoa, Chordata, Testudines, Geoemydidae.
CAAGGAAAGGCUGCUGAUGUGAGCAGUCUGAAGACUAAUUAAGGAAAAAAAGAGGCCAGCGGGCAGAGGCUUCCCCCACCCUGCCUGUCGGGGUGUGGGGGCUUGCUUUGCUCUUUCCCGCCUGCCUGGUGCUCUUGUGGGGAGCGGGGUCAGCGUGUGAGGGUGCCCAUUUUUCUGGGGCCCCCCAGUUGGCCAGGGCCCUUGGCCAUGGGCCCCAUCAGACCAGUGGCUAAUCCACCACUGACUCUGGGUAAGGAGACUGUGUGCAACUAGCUAGUACAAUUGAAAAGAGAAAAGCUGGGGAUUCCUGCUUAAGCAAGAGCUGCAAAGAGAUAACUCCCAGAAGGGCUGGGUCCCUGGGCCCGAAACUUUCAGGUACAGGAAAGAAGAGUCUCCUGAAGAAAGGAGCCAGGAACUGCUAGUUGGAUCAAGCCAAGGACCCGCCGCCAAAGACCCGGAGCGAUGCCAGCCCAUCCCAGAAGACUUCUCAGAUAGAAUGCGUAGACAGUGAAGACUACUUGACCAAUGAGGACUUCCAGCAAGCUGGAAGAAACUAUAAAAGAGGGGAAGUGACAUCAUCACUUGGCCUUUCUCCCCCAAACUCAACACCCGGAGGAAUGUCUGGAGGAUGAAGACUGAAUGAUCCAGACUAACAUGGCUAUCCCCUGAUACUGGUCUGGAGAGGAGACCAGCAGUCAGGUGACGGGAAUCAUUUGACCCAGCUGGACAGCAUCAAGUGACUGUCUGAUGAUGCACUUCUCAGGGAUAUAUAAAAGAGGACUCCAGCUGCAUGAGUGAGUCUGGGACCAGGAGAAGGCUGGGAAUGCACUCUUAUGUCACUGCAGCAGAAGGCUGAGACGGAAUGUCAGCCCUGAGGACCUCCCGCACCCACGUUGUGGGAAGUUCCAGACCAUAAAGCUACAGAGGGCCCCACAGCCUCAAAUGAGAAGAGGACUGUUGCUUUUUGUUAUUGUUCCAGUUUCCUUUGUGCAUGUGUGUAUUAAAGAAUAAACUUAGCCCUGACAUAAGGGCUACAAACUGAGCUGGGGGCAGCUGACUGGGUUCAUUAGCCUACAAUGGACCCCACCACAUCGCUAUUUAGCUAACUCUUUAGACUGGGGUAAAAUUAGAGCAGGCUCUUUGGUGUUCUAACACAGUGUAGGGGACCAGCCUGCACAGAGCAGCACCAAGGUCAGGGGAACGUAAAGAUGAGUUUUAAGCAACCGUGGCCAACAAUUCGAUGACAUUUGCCAUGUGAAGUUUAGCUGCAUCCCAAAAUCCUGUCUAUAACUUACACAACAGCAUUAUACAGGCUAAGGCUAGGAAGAGAGUAUGUACAAUAUUUAUUCAUUAGAGUAGGUAUGUUCUGUAACUUGUAAAGCAAUUUAAAUAAACGUGUAAAGAUGUAAGUCUUGAUUCUCGUUUACACUAAGCCCCCUAGAGACAGGCAUUCUGAGAGUAAAUGAAAAAUCAGGCCUUAACUUUUUUCUCCCCUGUACCUUUUUAAUUUCCCAGUUUUGACAUGGAGAAUAUACUGGCCUAAUCCUGAAAGUAUGAGAUAAUUCAUGUGCUGAGGGCACCAAAAGGCUCAAACAACAUCACCUCUUAAUUUGGCCCUUCAUAUACAACUUAGUAACAAUGAAAUUGCAUUGGUAUAUGUAGGGAGGUAAGUUAGGUUUGCAGUUGACAAGCUCAACCUUUGAAUUGCACUUAAGAUGUAUGAUACAUAGCAACUGAAUGCUGAAAAAAAAACAACAAACA